UACGAAGGGUGCAAGCGUUACUCGGAAUUACUGGGCGUAAAGCGUGCGUAGGUGGUUUGUUAAGUCUGUUGUGAAAGCCCCGGGCUCAACCUGGGAAUGGCAAUGGAUACUGGCAAGCUAGAGUGCGGUAGAGGGUAGUGGAAUUCCCGGUGUAGCGGUGAAAUGCGUAGAGAUCGGGAGGAACACCAGUGGCGAAGGCGGUUACCUGGACCAGCACUGACACUGAGGCACGAAAGCGUGGGGAGCAAACAGG
RNAcentral lists this ribosomal RNA (253 nucleotides) under uncultured bacterium. Its description in RNAcentral is "partial 16S ribosomal RNA". It matches the Rfam family "Bacterial small subunit ribosomal RNA", at positions 524 to 776 of the family's 1533-position model. The record is from RNAcentral.